This 466-nucleotide ribosomal RNA is filed under the name uncultured bacterium. RNAcentral describes it as "bacterial SSU rRNA". It matches the Rfam family "Bacterial small subunit ribosomal RNA", at positions 200 to 649 of the family's 1533-position model. The record is from RNAcentral.
ACUAAAGACGGGGACCGCAAGGCCUGUCACUUCCCGAUUGGUCCGCGGCCUAUCAGCUAGUUGGCGGGGUAAAAGCCCACCAAGGCUACGACGGGUAGCUGGUCUUAGAGGACGACCAGCCACACUGGAACUGAGACACGGUCCAGACACCUACGGGUGGCAGCAGUCGAGAAUCUUUCACAAUGGGGGCAACCCUGAUGGAGCGACGCCGCGUGGAGGAUAAGGUCUUCGGAUUGUAAACUCCUGUCAUGCGCGAACAAGGUUGCAGAGUUAAUAACUUUGCAAAUUGAUGGUACCGCAAGAGGAAGAGACGGCUAACUCUGUGCCAGCAGCCGCGGUAAUACAGAGGUCUCAAGCGUUGUUCGGAAUCACUGGGCGUAAAGGGUGCGUAGGUGGCGUGGUAAGUCAGAUGUGAAGUCCGGGGCUCAACCCCGGAAUUGCAUCCGAUACUACCGUGCUAGAGUAC